GACGAACGCUGGCGGCGUGCUUAACACAUGCAAGUCGAACGGCAAGGCACUGCUUUUGUGGGGUGCUCGAGUGGCGAACGGGUGAGUAACACGUGAGUAACCUGCUCUUCACUUUGGUAUAACUUCAGGAAACUGGGGUUACUACAGUAUAGGAGCUCCUGCUGCAUUGUGGGGGUUGGAAAGUUUGGGCGUUUGGGGAUGGAUUAGCGGCUUAUGAGCUUGUUGGUGGGGUAGUGGCUUACCAAGGCUUUGACCGGUAGCCGGCCUGAGAGGGUGACCGGCCACAUGAGUACUGAGAGACGGCCCAGACGCCUACGUGAGGCAGCAGGGGGGAACAUUGCACAAUGGGAGGAAGCCUGAUGCAGCAACGCCGCGUUCGUGAAGACGUCCUGUGGGGUGUAAACCGCUGUCGCCUAUGACGAAGCUUUAGUGACGGUAAUGGGAAAAGAAGCACCGGCUAACUACGUG
RNAcentral lists this ribosomal RNA (468 nucleotides) under uncultured bacterium. RNAcentral's name for it is "partial 16S ribosomal RNA". It matches the Rfam family "Bacterial small subunit ribosomal RNA", at positions 28 to 507 of the family's 1533-position model. The record is from RNAcentral.